Molecule: ribosomal RNA, 301 nt
Filed under: uncultured bacterium
Lineage: Bacteria
Description: partial 16S ribosomal RNA
Rfam family: Bacterial small subunit ribosomal RNA
Source: RNAcentral
CAGCCGCCGCGGUAAUACGAAGGGUGCAAGCGUUAAUCGGAAUUACUGGGCGUAAAGCGUGCGUAGGCGGUGAGUUAAGUCUGCUGUGAAAUCCCCGGGCUCAACCUGGGAAUGGCAAUGGAUACUGGCAAGCUAGGAUGUGUCAGAGGAUGGUGGAAUUCCCGGUGUAGCGGUGAAAUGCGUAGAGAUCGGGAGGAACAUCAGUGGCGAAGGCGGCCAUCUGGGACAACACUGACGCUGAGGCACGAAAGCGUGGGGAGCAAACAGGAUUAGAUACCCGGGUAGUCCCUGUCUCUUAUAC